UUACAGAACGCCCGCGGCUUCGGCCUGGUUAUUCAUAACCCUUUGUUGUCCGACUCUGUUGCCUCCGGGGCGACCCUGCCUUCGGGCGGGGGCUCCGGGUGGACACUUCAAACUCUUGCGUAACUUUGCAGUCUGAGUAAACUUAAUUAAUAAAUUAAAACUUUUAACAACGGAUCUCUUGGUUCUGGCAUCGAUGAAGAACGCAGCGAAAUGCGAUAAGUAAUGUGAAUUGCAGAAUUCAGUGAAUCAUCGAAUCUUUGAACGCACAUUGCGCCCCCUGGUAUUCCGGGGGGCAUGCCUGUUCGAGCGUCAUUUCACCACUCAAGCCUCGCUUGGUAUUGGGCAACGCGGUCCGCCGCGUGCCUCAAAUCGUCCGGCUGGGUCUUCUGUCCCCUAAGCGUUGUGGAAACUAUUCGCUAAAGGGUGUUCGGGAGGCUACGCCGUAAAACAACCCCAUUUCUAAGGUUGACCUCGGAUCAGGUAGGGAUACCCGCUGAACUUAAGCAUA
RNAcentral lists this ribosomal RNA (508 nucleotides) under uncultured fungus. RNAcentral's name for it is "eukaryotic LSU rRNA". The stretch from base 159 to 312 matches the Rfam family "5.8S ribosomal RNA". Lineage: Eukaryota; Fungi. The record is from RNAcentral.